GGGCCUUGCGGCAGCUACACAUGCAGUCGAGCGGAACGAGUUAUCUGAACCUUCGGGGGACGAUAACGGCGUCGAGCGGCGGACGGGUGAGUAAUGCCUAGGAAAUUGCCCUGAUGUGGGGGAUAACCAUUGGAAACGAUGGCUAAUACCGCAUAAUGCCUACGGGCCAAAGAGGGGGACCUUCGGGCCUCUCGCGUCAGGAUAUGCCUAGGUGGGAUUAGCUAGUUGGUGAGGUAAUGGCUCACCAAGGCGACGAUCCCUAGCUGGUCUGAGAGGAUGAUCAGCCACACUGGAACUGAGACACGGUCCAGACUCCUACGGGAGGCAGCAGUGGGGAAUAUUGCACAAUGGGCGCAAGCCUGAUGCAGCCAUGCCGCGUGUGUGAAGAAGGCCUUCGGGUUGUAAAGCACUUUCAGUCGUGAGGAAGGUAGUGUAGUUAAUAGCUGCAUUAUUUGACGUUAGCGACAGAAGAAGCACCGGCUAACUCCGUGCCAGCAGCCGCGGUAAUACGGAGGGUGCGAGCGUUAAUCGGAAUUACUGGGCGUAAAGCGCAUGCAGGUGGUUUGUUAAGUCAGAUGUGAAAGCCCGGGGCUCAACCUCGGAAUAGCAUUUGAAACUGGCAGACUAGAGUACUGUAGAGGGGGGUAGAAUUUCAGGUGUAGCGGUGAAAUGCGUAGAGAUCUGAAGGAAUACCGGUGGCGAAGGCGGCCCCCUGGACAGAUACUGACACUCAGAUGCGAAAGCGUGGGGAGCAAACAGGAUUAGAUACCCUGGUAGUCCACGCCGUAAACGAUGUCUACUUGGAGGUUGUGGCCUUGAGCCGUGGCUUUCGGAGCUAACGCGUUAAGUAGACCGCCUGGGGAGUACGGUCGCAAGAUUAAAACUCAAAUGAAUUGACGGGGGCCCGCACAAGCGGUGGAGCAUGUGGUUUAAUUCGAUGCAACGCGAAGAACCUUACCUACUCUUGACAUCCAGAAAAAUUUUCCAAAAAUGAAUUGGUG
This 1001-nucleotide ribosomal RNA is filed under the name Vibrio alginolyticus. Its description in RNAcentral is "bacterial SSU rRNA". It matches the Rfam family "Bacterial small subunit ribosomal RNA", at positions 31 to 1016 of the family's 1533-position model. The record is from RNAcentral. Lineage: Bacteria; Pseudomonadati; Pseudomonadota; Gammaproteobacteria; Vibrionales; Vibrionaceae.